Long non-coding RNA from Apis cerana (Asiatic honeybee), 1595 nucleotides. RefSeq lists it as uncharacterized. NCBI's taxonomy places the organism in Eukaryota, Metazoa, Arthropoda, Insecta, Hymenoptera, Apidae. The record is from RefSeq and is a predicted model, not a curated record.
GGAGGAGGAGGAAUUGAUAAAAAUAAGGAGGAGGAGGAAUUGAUAAAAAUAAGGAGGAGGAGGAAUUGAUAAAAAUAAGGAGGAGGAGGAAUUGAUAAAAAUAAGGAGGAGGAGGAAUUGAUAAAAAUAAGGAAGAGGAGGAAUUGAUAAAAAUAAGGAGGAGGAGGAAUUGAUAAAAAUAAGGAAGAGGAGGAAUUGAUAAAAAUAAGGAAGAGGAGGAAUUGAUAAAAAUAAGGAAGAGAAGGAAUUGAUAAAUUUGUAGUGGAAUUAGUAAAAGGAAUUGAUAAAAAUAAGAAGUUUUUUUUCCGAAAGGAAAAUAACCUUUCGCUCAUGCGUCUAAUGAAAACGAUGAUAUUUUUUUAAAUCUUAUUGCUGAGCUGAGAGGAUAGAGCUUUUUAGUUCUUGUUAUAGCAAAAAACAUUGUCGGUUAAUUUUUAAUUACAUUCUUAGUAAUUUUAAAAUUUGCUAUGUUUGGCAAAUCGAAUAAUUUGUUUCGAGAGAAUUAUAAAAAUUUUUAAAAAUUUGUUAUGUUUAUAAAAUGUAGAGAAUCACGUUAAUAUUUAAAUAUAUAUUUUGUUUAAGGACAUAGUUUUUGGACAUUUGUACUGUCGAACGAUUUUUCCUUCGAAACAUAUUAAUAAAAAUAAGGAACAGAAGGAAUUGAAGAAAACAAGGAGGAAGAGGAAUCGAUAAAUUUUUGGAGGAAAAUUAUUUGAUAUAAAUAAGGUAGAGGAAAAAUUUAUAAAAUUGGGGAGGAACAGGAGAAAUUGAUAAAUUUGGGGAGGAAGUGGAAUUGAUAAAAAUAAGGAAGAGCAGAAAUUGAUAAAUUUGGGAAGGAAAAGGAAUUGAUAAAAAUAAGGAAGAGGAGGAAUUGAUAAAUUUGGGAAGGAUAUUUGUUUCUCAUAAUUUAUUCACGUGACUGAACAGCAGCCACACAAUCAGCUAUGGAUUAAACGUGUCAAUUAUUCACGGGGAUGAUUAAAACAGUGAGGGAACGAAUAUUUCCAUGCCAACUUUAAUUUAUCGUACGUUAUACAAUUACUGUUUGAUUAAUUGAAAUGGCAGCUUAAAAAAAAGUUGUUAAAAAAAAAUAAACGCUGUAUUUUUCGCAAAAAAAUCUGUGGAAUUAAUGCAUCGUUAACUUCUACAUCUCUCAUCGAUGAAUCGCGCAAUGGUGGCUCUGUGCUUGUUAAUCGUGAAACUUUUCAUUCGCCUGUGUUUGCGAAUAAAUUUAAUCAUUGCCAAAGGGUGAGGGAACGAAUAAAGGGAAGAAUUUUCAGGGAAUAAGAGAAUAACUCAGUGGCGGGUUUCUAACGCUGGCGAAUGCAUAAAUUUCAUGAGCGACUGCCUCGAAUAAAUUGGCUAACCCACUGAACGAUACAGUUCACUGAAUAAUUAUAUUUUCUAACGUGGAGGAAAAAUCGCACUUUUUGGCAACAUAUGAUUAUUUAUGCAUUUACGAAAAUUUUAAAACUGCAAAAAUGUAUAGAAACUGAAUAGUAGGUAAGGUACGUAUAUAAAAUAUAUAAAAUAAAGUAUAAGUUAUAAUAUUUAAUAAAAAAAAGUUUUAAUAAAAAAAAUGAAUUUAUAUUUAA